GAUGAACGCUGGCGGCGUGCCUAAUACAUGCAAGUCGAGCGAACGGACGAGAAGCUUGCUUUUCUGAUGUUAGCGGCGGACGGGUGAGUAACACGUGGAUAACCUACCUAUAAGACUGGGAUAACUUCGGGAAACCGGAGCUAAUACCGGAUAAUAUUUUGAACCGCAUGGUUCAAAAGUGAAAGACGGUCUUGCUGUCACUUAUAGAUGGAUCCGCGCUGCAUUAGCUAGUUGGUAAGGUAACGGCUUACCAAGGCAACGAUGCAUAGCCGACCUGAGAGGGUGAUCGGCCACACUGGAACUGAGACACGGUCCAGACUCCUACGGGAGGCAGCAGUAGGGAAUCUUCCGCAAUGGGCGAAAGCCUGACGGAGCAACGCCGCGUGAGUGAUGAAGGUCUUCGGAUCGCAAAACUCUGUUAUUAGGGAAGAACAUAUGUGUAAGUAACUGUGCACAUCUUGACGGUACCUAAUCAGAAAGCCACGGCUAACUACGUG
This 497-nucleotide ribosomal RNA is filed under the name uncultured bacterium. Its description in RNAcentral is "partial 16S ribosomal RNA". It matches the Rfam family "Bacterial small subunit ribosomal RNA", at positions 28 to 507 of the family's 1533-position model. The record is from RNAcentral.